This 3567-nucleotide unclassified non-coding RNA is filed under the name Pectinophora gossypiella (pink bollworm). RNAcentral describes it as "uncharacterized LOC126373556". The record is from RNAcentral. Lineage: Eukaryota; Metazoa; Arthropoda; Insecta; Lepidoptera; Gelechiidae.
AAUGUUCAAAUGAAGAACUGUCUGGAAUUGGAUUGCAUUAAAAAAGAAAAAGUGCGCCCUUUAGUGUUUUUAAAAACAUAAAUACUUACGUAAUGUGUGUUUGGUUUUGUUUACAGUGUUUUGAGUGAGUGUGUUCGUUGAUAGUUGAAGUAGGUACAAACCUAUACUAGGUUUUUGCCGCUGAUCAUCAUGACUAGUAACGAGUCAAAACUGUAAACAAUCAAAAUCUUCCAUUUACAAACUGCUAUAAGUGUGAAAGAGAUAGCCAAUUGAAGUGCUGGUGCGUGUGAGCAGGACAGCAUGCCUGAUACGUUCCUGACCACAGGAGUGAGCCUGGGGCUGUUGGCUGGAGUAGUGUCUGGUGUAUGCUACCUCGUCGCGAAUGGAUUGGCUUGGCCUCGACACGAUCAGAAGAAGAAGCGAUGUAUACCAUCCACGCAGCACGAGGGCGUGUGUCUUAGCUGCGGUGGAGACUCACGGGGCGGCAUCAUACCCUGCAUCUGUACUGGACAUCAAGCCGUGAAGUUCGAGUCUGGCUUCUGGUUCUUGCGUCAGGUGCAACGAGCAGUCAGCCUCAUGCCCUGGAGCCUCAGCACCGACAAGCUGGAGCUGAUCGAAGAAGAGGAAUGCGACAGCCCGGAUAGCCCAGGGUCGAGCGAGGGCCCCCGCGAGCUGCGCAACGUGCGCGAGUUCCUCGAGGCCCUCUCCGCCAAGCUGGCCGGGGGGGCCCUCGAGGGAACCCGUGUGGCCCCCCUCUACCAUCACCCUGCUUAUUUAUCGCCGCGCGACCCAUCUCAGCCCAGCUCCUCACAUGCGCAUGCGUCUAGCGGCGCGAGCGGCGCACACGCUCAACUCAAGCGGUUGGUAGCGCGCGUGGUAGAAGAAGCUGCAGCGUUACCGGCGCUUGCGCGGUACGCGGCUGAACCUACCACCCCCACCAUCGAGACGUCUACGUAUGAAGAUCUGUUGGCUACUGCAAUUUUGAACAAGGUCAUAGAACGAUACCAGACAGAGAAUGGUUCAGGAGGCAGAAGCAGCGGCAUCCAUUCAGCGAGUGCCAGCCCUACCCCUUCGGAGAGGUCCUCACCCCGCUCCCUGAACUCCAGAGCCAGGGAUAUAUCGCCACCUCUUCGAGAAGAAGAUGAGUUAUCAGACUGGGAGGAGGGCGAGGCGACAGCUUCAGAUGAUGCGCUCGAGUUGCCUCGCCGCGUGCCCUUUCCAGAGUUCGGCGGUGACAUAGUUCAUGCUACAGACAACGAUGACCGUGAUUUCGACGAAGUAUCCGGCAGUGAUAUCCAAGCAGUCGACGGAUCGUGGGAAGAGAACUGGCUGUUCCAAAAAAAAAAGAUAAAGACCAUCCAGUCAGUGCCCGUGCCUAUGCUGGUGCCCAACUCAAACACCGAAUACAGAGCCCUGAUCGGUGACAGAGACGCCGACGACACCACAGACCUCUCAGACAACGCUAGCGAAGGCGAUGAAGAAGCUGAAUACAAAAGCGACAUCAAAAGAGUACUAGAUUCCAAACACGUGAUUGGUGGUAAACCUAAAAUAGACGAACUACUCGACUUCGAACCGGACAGCCUAAACAUGGUUGAUGCAGGCGAUGAGUUCGAAAUAUGUGAUAACGAACAGGAUAAAGAUGUUGUUGAUGCUGUUAAUAAUGAAAUCAACGACGAUACUGCCAAACCAGACAAUCACGACAAACAAGAUGAAGACAAAGACUCCGUUCUAGUAUUAGGAAUGGACAGCGGGCCACUGACAAAAGCAGAAUUUGCAUUGAAAGAAGAAAUACAUAGAACAUUGCUGAAUGGUACCGCGGAAGACUUCGCAGCACAGCUCGAAGCUAAAAUAAACGGUGAAGAACAGGAUGAGCUUGAUAAAAUGCACAAAGGGUCUAUGGGCACGCUCAGUCGCCACGAGCGAGAGGGUGAGUACGAAGAAACUGUGACCAAACCCGUCCAAAGAUACGCCGACAGCCUCAGGAGGAAACAUUUUGAAGACGAACCGCAACACAUACCCACACGAGAUACAGACAAAGAAGAUGAUUUGAUACCAGGUUCUAUUGCGUAUAGAGAACGUAAAAAAUGGUUGAACUACGUUGAAAUGCCAAACAACCCCUAUUCUCCUGAAGCAAUACAAAAGAGACUUUCAGCUAAAAGCACUUCCUCACUCUUCGACAUGCUGACCAAGCCAAAAGACUUAGAUGAUGACGACAGAAGCAUCAAAUCUGAAAAUAUUAAUGGAAAGGAAAGUCUUAAAGAGCACGACUUGCUCGAAAAAGAUGAACGUAAUCUACAGUUAGAGAAGUUAAACACGGAAGGUAUCAUUAUGAAUGGAAACAGACCGAAAAGUCCAUCUCCAAGAAUUCUGAAAGAUGUACUAGCGGAAGAGGUACCACAAUACAAACGCUAUGGCCGGGACUAUUAUAUUAGAGAAGCGAAGGUCUCUGCGGGUGGUCGCAGAAAGAGAGAGGAGCUGAGCGAGACGAGUUCACUGUCGUCAAUGAACAAGUCGACCAGUUUAGACAAUUUCGAUACAGAGUUCGCCUCGCCUGUAAGUGCCAGCAGUUCGUUGAGCGAUCUCGAGGCGUCCGCCCUUCACCAGAACAUCGUCCGCGCCGUCCUCAGCCCCAGAAAUGCGAGCCCCAACUUCGCUAUAAACCCUAUUUUUGAAAACCCAGACAGACAAAACGAUAACGCUGACGAAAAUCAUGCGACAGACGCUAACGUCAGUCGAACUAACGCCAACGUAAGAGAACAAAGUAGACCUGUGUGCGGAGGUGACGGUUAUGUGGAAAACGAGGAUAUAAUUAGACUUAAAAUACCGAAUAAACCCGAAGUAACCGAAGAUCUUUUCGAAACAUAUACAAAUGUUAGGCGAAGCAACACUUUGAAAAGCGAGGACCUGUGUCUUCGAUCUAAGAGACGGCCAGGCCUCAAUUACACGUUCGGCGGAAGCCUCAGGUUAAACGAGGGCUUUCGUGCUAAUCUAUGGUGAAUAACCACCUUCAAUAGCUCCAAUAAUACACCUCCAGUAUAAAGCACUCUCCUACUGACAAUGUAAAGUUUUUUCUAACUUAAAGAAUCUCUUACUAUGUACAAUACGAACAUAGACAAUUCAAUUCGAUGGAAUCUUUUAACUAGAUCUAUAGGUUAAUUCUUACAUCACUAUCACAUCUACCUUUCAUAAAAAAAAAUAACUCUUCCGCCAAUAACUAAGUCGACAAUCUAAAAUAUCUUCGUUUUACACGCAGUAAUUUUGCCUGUUGUGUGUAAAAGUUGGCAUGUUCUGAAUACAAGCUGACUAACAGCACUCUGCACCUUAAUACAAGAAAAUCUAAUUCUCUAGUACUGCACUCAUAGAUUUGUGUCCUUCUUAAUCAAAAUUUUCAGUACUUUACUACAGUAAUCCUCAAAGAAGUUAGUGGGAUUACUAAUAAAGCAAUUCAACACAAUUGCCUCAAAUCAGCAUUACACGAAGUUUGCUCCGAAUCAACAAAUGUCAGAAUCAAUAACUACACUUCCUAACAACAAGACAGAGAUUAUGAUUGAGUACGAUGAUGUAAAC